RNAcentral lists this ribosomal RNA (269 nucleotides) under uncultured prokaryote. RNAcentral describes it as "partial 16S ribosomal RNA". It matches the Rfam family "Bacterial small subunit ribosomal RNA", at positions 524 to 792 of the family's 1533-position model. The record is from RNAcentral.
UACGUAGGUGGCAAGCGUUAUCCGGAUUUACUGGGUGUAAAGAGGGCGUAGGCGGCUUUUCAAGUCGAGUAUAAAAUCUCCCGGCUUAACUGGGAGGGAUUAUUCGAUACUGUUGGGCUAGAGGACAGUAGGGGGAGGUGGAAUUCCCGGUGUAGUGGUGAAAUGCGUAGAUAUCGGGAGGAACACCAGUGGCGAAGGCGGCCUCCUGGGCUGUUGCUGACGCUGAGGCCCGAAAGCGUGGGGAGCAAACAGGAUUAGAUACCCCCGUA